This 253-nucleotide ribosomal RNA is filed under the name uncultured bacterium. Its description in RNAcentral is "partial 16S ribosomal RNA". It matches the Rfam family "Bacterial small subunit ribosomal RNA", at positions 524 to 776 of the family's 1533-position model. The record is from RNAcentral.
GACAGAGGUCCCGAGCGUUAGGCGGAAUCACUGGGCUUAAAGCGUGUGUAGGCGGAUCGUUAAGUGCCUUGUGAAAUCCCACGGCUUAACCGUGAAACUGCUUGGCAUACUGGCGGUCUUGAGCCACUUAGGGGCAACCGGAACAAAUGGUGGAGCGGUGAAAUGCGUAGAUAUCAUUUGGAACGCCAAUGGUGAAAACAGGUUGCUGGGAGUGUGCUGACGCUGAGACACGAAAGCCAGGGGAGCGAACGGG